This 253-nucleotide ribosomal RNA is filed under the name uncultured bacterium. RNAcentral describes it as "partial 16S ribosomal RNA". It matches the Rfam family "Bacterial small subunit ribosomal RNA", at positions 524 to 776 of the family's 1533-position model. The record is from RNAcentral.
UACGUAGGGUGCGAGCGUUAAUCGGAAUUACUGGGCGUAAAGCGUGCGCAGGCGGUUCGUUGUGUCGGUGGUGAAAUCCCCGGGCUUAACCUGGGAAUGGCCAUGGAAACUGGCAAACUGGAGUGCGGCAGAGGGGGGUGGAAUUCCGCGUGUAGCAGUGAAAUGCGUAGAGAUGCGGAGGAACACCGAUGGCGAAGGCAGCCCCCUGGGCUAGCACUGACGCUCAGGCACGAAAGCGUGGGGAGCAAACAGG